RNAcentral lists this unclassified non-coding RNA (1190 nucleotides) under Limulus polyphemus (Atlantic horseshoe crab). Its description in RNAcentral is "neuroguidin-like, transcript variant X1". Lineage: Eukaryota; Metazoa; Arthropoda; Merostomata; Xiphosura; Limulidae. The record is from RNAcentral.
CAAAUUAAAAACAAAUAUUAACGUAAAUUACCAGCUAGAUCCUUUAUUAUAGCAGUUUUGUGUUAUUUUUUUGGAUGUGCAACGAGCUGUUAAAUAUACAAUGAUGUGUAAAGAAAAAGUCAUUGCUCAUGACCUUCCUGAAGCUCUUGCUCAUCUGAAUCUAGUUAAAGAUCAUGCAUAUACAGCUCUAACUACAGUAAACAGUUUACUUCAGAGAGUUCAAGAUGGAGAUCUUCCCACGAAAAAGGGUAUCACUAUUUUGGAGGUGAAAAACCACAUGCUCCUAAGUUAUUUGACAAACCUCACUUUCUUGAUGUGGAGAAAACUUAAUGGCCAGAAAAUCAGUGGAGAAACAGCAGUGGAAAGGCUGGCAGAGUAUAGAACUGUUCUUGAAAAAAUAAGACCCAUUGAACAAAAGCUGAAGUACCAAAUUGAUAAACUAAUAAAAACAGGAACCAUAGAACAGCUUGAUCCUGAUGACCCUUUGAAGUUCAAAGCUAAUCCAGAUAGUUUAAUAAGCAAAUUAGCUGAAGAUGAAGAUGAAUCAGUUUCUGAUGAAGAGAAGGAAGAGAAGUCCAACAUAUAUGUCCCACCAAAACUAUCUGCUGUACAUUAUGAAGGGGAUGAGACUGAACAUGAUCGACAACAAAGAAUACUGGAGCGAGCAAGAAAGCGAGUACUAAGUACUAGCAUUAUGCAAGAGCUUAGAAAGGAAUACAGUGAAGCACCAGAAGAGAUAAAGGAAUCGGUUGAUUUUCAGAAAGAAACAGCAGCCAAGCAUAUCAAAGAAAAAAUCAACUAUGAGGAAGAAUACAUGACACGACUGACAGUCACUAAAAAGGAAAGAAUGCCAGAAAGAAGUUGAAUGGAAUGUAUGACUUAGACCAUUUAACUACAUUUGAAGACAUCUCAGCACUUGAUGCAGAAGCAAUUGAUGACUUGCCAAUGAAGAAAAAGAAAAAACUUGCAAAAAAGCAAAUGAAGAUGAAAAAGAAGGGGAAGAAAAAAGGUUUCAGAAAAAGAAGAUAAGCCACCACAAGAUCACUUAUGUGAAUUCCUUGGAUUGUUCAAGACAAUUGAGUGCAAAAAAAAAUUAUUAUUGUUCUAAAUUGUGCAAGGACAUAAGUAAAAGGUUGUUAUGAUUGACAGCCUUACUGUAUUUUUGUAAUAAAAGUUUUAAUCCUCUGUUA